GAGAGCCAGAUGAGGGGAGACCUUCACAUCUGGUUCGGAGGGUGGGGAUAUCCCGACCCUAC
This is a non-coding RNA of Lupinus angustifolius (narrow-leaved blue lupine), 62 nucleotides long. The record is from Rfam. Lineage: Eukaryota; Viridiplantae; Streptophyta; Magnoliopsida; Fabales; Fabaceae.